RNAcentral lists this transfer RNA (71 nucleotides) under Nocardiopsis sinuspersici. Its description in RNAcentral is "tRNA-Ser". It matches the Rfam family "tRNA". From Rfam's summary of the family: Transfer RNA (tRNA) molecules are approximately 80 nucleotides in length. Their secondary structure includes four short double-helical elements and three loops (D, anti-codon, and T loops). Further hydrogen bonds mediate the characteristic L-shaped molecular structure. tRNAs have two regions of fundamental functional importance: the anti-codon, which is responsible for specific mRNA codon recognition, and the 3' end, to which the tRNAs corresponding amino acid is attached (by aminoacyl-tRNA synthetases). tRNAs cope with the degeneracy of the genetic code in two manners: having more than one tRNA (with a specific anti-codon) for a particular amino acid; and 'wobble' base-pairing, i.e. permitting non-standard base-pairing at the 3rd anti-codon position. Lineage: Bacteria; Bacillati; Actinomycetota; Actinomycetes; Streptosporangiales; Nocardiopsidaceae. The record is from RNAcentral.
GCACGUAGAGGCACGAAAGCACCGGACUUCUCAUCCGAUGGCCGCAGGUUCGAAUCCUGCCGGGUGCGCCA